Molecule: long non-coding RNA, 514 nt
Organism: Peromyscus leucopus (white-footed mouse)
Lineage: Eukaryota; Metazoa; Chordata; Mammalia; Rodentia; Cricetidae
Exons: 3
Source: RefSeq, a predicted model, not a curated record
AGAGACUCUUCACUGAGACUCAGGGCACUGGGCAGGGAAUCCCGGUCCUCAAACUUACCCUAACCAAACACUUUCAACUGGUCUGGAUUGCUGGAUUCACGUGGUCGUCUCUUUCAUCAGCCCAGCUGACUAGAGUGGGGACUUAGGCUCUCCUCUACCAAUCCGCCCUCCUCAACCAGAAAGUCUGCUAGGGAGAUGAUCUUCCCUUCUUACCUGUCUCUUUUGCUGUAGCCAUCAUGCUAUGCAGUGAAAUCUCUUUUCUGGCACCUAUGGCCCUGAGUGUCAAUGACAAAUCUCGAGGCAUAAAUAGCUGUGGAAAAAAAGCCUUUAUCCUAUUGGCCUGUGGAGAACUACUGAACAGCCAUGAAGAUCUUCCUUUUCCUAGUUCUCAUCGAAGCUACUGGUGAGUCCUUCAAAAGAAUUCAUCAGCGGAGAUAUACAUUGCACAUAAAUGUGGGCUUUGUGUUUAGAAAUCAACAAUGGUUGUUGAAUAUAAGGUCUGAAAGCAAGAUGG